Molecule: ribosomal RNA, 465 nt
Filed under: uncultured bacterium
Lineage: Bacteria
Description: partial 16S ribosomal RNA
Rfam family: Bacterial small subunit ribosomal RNA
Source: RNAcentral
GACGAACGCUGGCGGCGUGCUUAACACAUGCAAGUCGAACGGAAAGGCCCCUUUGGGGGUACUCGAGUGGCGAACGGGUGAGUAACACGUGAGUAACCUGCCCUUGACUUCGGGAUAACUUCAGGAAACUGAGGCUAAUACCGGAUAGGAAUCCUUGCUGCAUGGUGGGGGUUGGAAAGCUUCGGCGGUUUUGGAUGGACUCGCGGCUUAUCAGCUUGUUGGUGGGGUAGUGGCUUACCAAGGCUUUGACGGGUAGCCGGCCUGAGAGGGCGACCGGCCACAUUGGGACUGAGAUACGGCCCAGACUCCUACGGGAGGCAGCAGUGGGGAAUAUUGCACAAUGGGCGGAAGCCUGAUGCAGCAACGCCGCGUGCGGGAUGACGGCCUUCGGGUUGUAAACCGCUUUCAGCAGGGGCGAAGCUUGUGGUGACGGUACCUGCAGAAGAAGCACCGGCUAACUACGUG